AUAAAUACCUUGGGCAAAUUGGUUUGAUUUGUAAUCAGAGGGUCCGCGGUUUGAGCCCGGGUGGGGGCACCA
This 72-nucleotide transfer RNA is filed under the name Rhodobacterales bacterium LSUCC0374. RNAcentral describes it as "tRNA-Thr". The record is from RNAcentral. Lineage: Bacteria; Pseudomonadati; Pseudomonadota; Alphaproteobacteria; Rhodobacterales.